This 507-nucleotide ribosomal RNA is filed under the name uncultured bacterium. RNAcentral describes it as "bacterial SSU rRNA". It matches the Rfam family "Bacterial small subunit ribosomal RNA", at positions 28 to 524 of the family's 1533-position model. The record is from RNAcentral.
GAUGAACGCUAGCGGCAGGCCUAAUACAUGCAAGUCGAACGAGAUUAGUAGCAAUACUAUGAAAGUGGCGCACGGGUGCGUAACACGUAUGCAAUCUACCUUUAAUUGGAGAAUAGCCUCGAGAAAUCGGGAUUAAUACUCCAUAACAUUAUGAAAUGGCAUCAUUUUAUAAUUAAACCUCCGGGGAUUAAAGAUGAGCAUGCGCAACAUUAGCUAGUUGGUAAGGUAAUGGCUUACCAAGGCUACGAUGGUUUAGGGGGUCUGAGAGGAUGACUCCCCCACACUGGUACUGAGACACGGACCAGACUCCGUACGGGAGGCAGCAGUAGGGAAUAGUUGGGCAAUGGAGGCAACUCUGACCCAGCCAUGCCGCGUGCAGGAUGACCGGCCCUCGUGGGUUAGUAAACUGUCUUUUUAGUACGGGAAAGAAAAAGUACUACGUGUAGUAUAUUGACGGUACCGUAAGAAUAAGGAUCGGCUAACUCCGUGCCAGCAGCCGACGGUAAA